This is a long non-coding RNA of Ictalurus punctatus (channel catfish), 603 nucleotides long. NCBI's taxonomy places the organism in Eukaryota, Metazoa, Chordata, Actinopteri, Siluriformes, Ictaluridae. The record is from Ensembl.
AUUUUAAAGAGACAAAAAAAGAAACCCCAUAAUAUCCAUGAUAUUUCAGAAACGCAUACCGUGACAUAAUUGAUCACGAUAUCAACAUUAUGUCAUCAUAUCACCCAGCCCAAAUCUGUAACGUUAACUUCAGGAUUUACAGGACGCUAAAAUUUACAUUAAUGCUGUGUGCACUUCUUUACAGGAAUCCGACAGCUUUUAUAAUGUGUUAACAUUUCUUGCGCUUCUUCCCCCCCUUCGUUUUUGUUUUCUCUGGGCUGCUUGAUGCCUCGUUUCUUUUCUGGGCCCAGAGAAAGAUAUUCACACUUACACCACUCUCCUGGACAGUCAUUAUAUAUCCGAAGAAAAAAAAUGAUUUCAGGACAAAUCACUCAGCUCUGAACUCUUGCACAGGAGGCAUGUCCCGUGCCACAGGAAUGCUGCUGCACUAUAGCCCCCGGGGCUCGCAGGACUCUCAGCAGCUCCGCAUGGAGGCGGCCGACGACAAAAAGAGGCGCCUCCUCCUGGCUCGCCGCCAUGCACAAGGCUGCCAAACUUCUGUAUGAGUCAAGGGACCAGUAAACUAACUGAUGUCAAGGCACAGGCGCUGAAGAGGAACAGGAG